GUUACCUACGGGGCGCAGCAGUGAGGAAUAUUGGUCAAUGGCCGAGAGGCUGAACCAGCCAAGUAGCGUGCAGGAUGACGGCCGUCGUGGUUGUAAACUGCUUUUAGUCGGGAAUAAAAGGGGGUUCGUGAAUCCCGUAUUGUAUGUACCGUCAGAAAAAGGACCGGCUAAUUCCGUGCCAGCAGCCGCGGUAAUACGGAAGGUCCGGGCGUUAUCCGGAUUUAUUGGGUUUAAAGGGAGCGUAGGCGGGCCGUUAAGCCCGUUGCGAAAGUUCGGGGCUCAACCCCGGAAUUGCAGUUGAAACA
Molecule: ribosomal RNA, 305 nt
Filed under: uncultured bacterium
Lineage: Bacteria
Description: bacterial SSU rRNA
Rfam family: Bacterial small subunit ribosomal RNA
Source: RNAcentral